UCCUACGGGGCGCAGCAGUGGGGAAUAUUGCACAAUGGGGGGAACCCUGAUGCAGCGACGCCGCGUGGGUGAAGGAGUAUUUCGGUAUGUAAAGCCCUAUCAGCAGGGAAGCACAAUGACGGUACCUGACUCAGACGCACCGGCUACAUACGUGCCAGCUGCCGCGGUAAUACGUAUGGUGCAAGCGUUAUCCGGAUUUACUGGGUGUAAUGGGAGCGCAGGCGGCGCGUUAAGCCUGGUGUGACAGCCCGCGGCCCACC
RNAcentral lists this ribosomal RNA (260 nucleotides) under uncultured bacterium. RNAcentral describes it as "partial 16S ribosomal RNA". It matches the Rfam family "Bacterial small subunit ribosomal RNA", at positions 337 to 613 of the family's 1533-position model. The record is from RNAcentral.